UACGUAGGGUGCGAGCGUUGUCCGGAAUUAUUGGGCGUAAAGAGCUCGUAGGCGGUGCGUCGCGUCGGCCGUGAAAACCCGCAGCUUAACUGUGGGCGUGCGGUCGAUACGGGCAUCACUGGAGUUCGGCAGGGGAGACUGGAAUUCCUGGUGUAGCGGUGAAAUGCGCAGAUAUCAGGAGGAACACCGGUGGCGAAGGCGGGUCUCUGGGCCGAUACUGACGCUGAGGAGCGAAAGCGUGGGGAGCGAACAGG
Molecule: ribosomal RNA, 254 nt
Filed under: uncultured bacterium
Lineage: Bacteria
Description: partial 16S ribosomal RNA
Rfam family: Bacterial small subunit ribosomal RNA
Source: RNAcentral